GCCCUCUCUCCCAUCAUAUGUUCCGAUAGAGCUACCUUGCAAAGUUGGCCCAAUAGCGAGCAUUUCGACCCCCUCCACAGCUGACAUAGCAUCCAGCUCCAGCUCCUCAAAAGUAUUUACAAGGAUAAUGAGUUUGUUGAACUUGGCGGCUGAAUGGUCCAGCUUAUCAAACAUCCCUUCAAACGAGUUUAGGACAGAAGCGUGUUUAUGCUCCGUGUUGAUAUCCGGUAGCGUGAGGAAGCUCGGGAAAUCUCUGAUUUGGAACUGUGGCAAACCCGGCAAAUUGAUUGCAGUAGAUGGGUCGUUUUUGUGUGAAUUGAUGAAGGUGGCGUAGCCGUGGAAGUAGCGGUGGUAGAGGGCGUAGACCGUGGCCGGCUGCGGCCAGAACAGGACUGAUGGGACAGCGAGGUCGUCGGCUACGUCGAUGGCCCAGGUUAGUAGUAAGGCGUAGAUAAUACAGGUGAUCGGGUGGCCUUGAUCUGCGAGGUCACGGGCUAGGGUGGUGAGGGAGCGGGAGCCAGCAGCGGCGGAGCGGGACAUGUAGUCCUUGGAACAAAUGUUCCCCUCAUCGAAGCCAUCUGAGUAGGGGAGGUAGCAGAUGACGCCGUCGUGAUGUUCCAAUUUGGUUGAGGAAGGGAACAUGCGACGAUGGGCGGAUAUGGUGGUGGAGAGGGUGACCCGGGCUCCGGUGGUACGGGCAAGGCGACGGGCUAGAUGGCGGGAGGGGUUGAUGAGGCCUUGGGUGGGGAAGAUGACUAUGAGGAAGUGGUGAUGAUCCAUCGCU
This 784-nucleotide unclassified non-coding RNA is filed under the name Hevea brasiliensis (rubber tree). The record is from RNAcentral. Lineage: Eukaryota; Viridiplantae; Streptophyta; Magnoliopsida; Malpighiales; Euphorbiaceae.